UUCCAGACUCCUACGGGAGGCAGCAGUGAGGAAUAUUGGUCAAUGGGCGGGAGCCUGAACCAGCCAAGCCGCGUGAAGGAAGAAGGCGCCAGGCGUCGUAAACUUCUUUUGUCGGGGAACAAAGGGCGCCACGCGUGGCGUUGUGAGUGUACCCGAAGAAAAAGCAUCGGCUAACUCCGUGCCAGCAGCCGCGGUAAUACGGAGGAUGCGAGCGUUAUCCGGAUUUAUUGGGUUUAAAGGGUGCGUAGGCGGUCCGGAAAGUCAGCGGUAAAAGCCCGGGGCUCAACCUGUGGCCUGCAUUUGAAACUGUAGUUCUUGAGUACUGGAGAGGCAGGCGGAAUUCCUAGUGUAGCGGUGAAAUGCGUAGAUAUUAGGAGGAACACCAGUGGCGAAGGCGGUCUGCUGGACAGCAACUGACGCUGAGGCGCGAAAGCGUGGGGAGCAAACAGGAUUAGAUACCCUUGUAA
RNAcentral lists this ribosomal RNA (467 nucleotides) under uncultured bacterium. RNAcentral describes it as "bacterial SSU rRNA". It matches the Rfam family "Bacterial small subunit ribosomal RNA", at positions 329 to 793 of the family's 1533-position model. The record is from RNAcentral.